AGUGAACGCUGGCGGUAGGCCUAACACAUGCAAGUCGAACGGCAGCACAGUAAGAGCUUGCUCUUACGGGUGGCGAGUGGCGGACGGGUGAGGAAUACAUCGGAAUCUACUUUUUCGUGGGGGAUAACGUAGGGAAACUUACGCUAGUACCGCAUACGACCUACGGGUGAAAGCAGGGGAUCUUCGGACCUUGCGCGAUUGAAUGAGCCGAUGUCGGAUUAGCUAGUUGGCGGGGUAAAGGCCCACCAAGGCGACGAUCCGUAGCCGGUCUGAGAGGAUGAUCAGCCACACUGGAACUGAGACACGGUCCAGACUCCUACGGGAGGCAGCAGUGGGGAAUAUUGGACAAUGGGCGCAAGCCUGAUCCAGCCAUACCGCGUGGGUGAAGAAGGCCUUCGGGUUGUAAAGCCCUUUUGUUGGGAAAGAAAAGCAGCAGGUUAAUACCCCGCUGUUCUGACGGUACCCAAAGAAUAAGCACCGGCUAACUUCGUG
This 492-nucleotide ribosomal RNA is filed under the name uncultured bacterium. Its description in RNAcentral is "partial 16S ribosomal RNA". It matches the Rfam family "Bacterial small subunit ribosomal RNA", at positions 29 to 507 of the family's 1533-position model. The record is from RNAcentral.